CUACGGGUGGCAGCAGUGAGGAAUAUUGGUCAAUGGGCGCAAGCCUGAACCAGCCAUCCCGCGUGAAGGAAGAAUGUCCUAUGGAUUGUAAACUUCUUUUAUGUCCCAAGAAUGGUUCGUACGUGUACGGAUUUGACGGUAGGACAUGAAUAAGCAUCGGCUAACUCCGUGCCAGCAGCCGCGGUAAUACGGAGGAUGCGAGCGUUAUCCGGAUUCAUUGGGUUUAAAGGGUGCGUAGGCGGCUUAUUAAGUCAGUGGUGAAAUCCUGCGGCUCAACCGUAGAACUGCCAUUGAAACUGAUAAGCUUGAAUACAAUUGAGGUAGGCGGAAUGAGUAGUGUAGCGGUGAAAUGCUUAGAGAUUACUCAGAACACCAAUUGCGAAGGCAGCUUACUAAACUGUUAUUGACGCUGAUGCACGAAAGCGUGGGGAGCGAACAGGAUUAGAUACCCCCGUAGUC
Molecule: ribosomal RNA, 459 nt
Filed under: uncultured bacterium
Lineage: Bacteria
Description: partial 16S ribosomal RNA
Rfam family: Bacterial small subunit ribosomal RNA
Source: RNAcentral